This 348-nucleotide ribosomal RNA is filed under the name uncultured bacterium. RNAcentral's name for it is "bacterial SSU rRNA". It matches the Rfam family "Bacterial small subunit ribosomal RNA", at positions 917 to 1267 of the family's 1533-position model. The record is from RNAcentral.
GGACCCGCACAAGCGGUGGAGCAUGUGGUUUAAUUCGAUGCAACGCGAAAAACCUUACCUACUCUUGACAUACUUGGGAGCUCUUGUAAUGAGAGUGUGCCUUUUGGAACCAAGAUACAGGUGCUGCAUGGCUGUCGUCAGCUCGUGUCGUGAGAUGUUCCGUUAAGUCGGAUAACGAGCGCAACCCUUACCCUUAUUUGCCAGCGAUUCGGUCGGGAACUAUAAGGGGACUGCCGGUGAUAAACCGGAGGAAGGUGAGGACGACGUCAAGUCAUCAUGGCCCUUACAUCCUGGCUACACACGUACUACAAUGCUACGGACAAAGGGCAGCAAGUUCGCGAGGACAAG